Molecule: ribosomal RNA, 137 nt
Filed under: Acipenser transmontanus (white sturgeon)
Lineage: Eukaryota; Metazoa; Chordata; Actinopteri; Acipenseriformes; Acipenseridae
Also listed under: 6 other names
Description: partial ribosomal RNA
Source: RNAcentral
GAUCGAGCUGGCGGUCCGCGCGAGGGCUACCGACCUGUCUCAGCCCCUGCCUCUCGGCGCCCCCUCGAUGCUCUUAACUGAGUGUCCGCAGGGUCCGAAGCGUUUACUUUGAAAAAAUUUGAUGAGUUCAAAGCAGG